GCCCCCCUUGGGUGGGGCAGGGAACCUGGCACCUCCCCUUUUCCCUGGGGACCCCCGUGUUACACGGAGACCUUUGCCACAGAAUGGUGUCCUGGCCCUGCUCCCGCACCCCUGGUUCCGGCCUGGCGUUACUGAGCAACGGUGGCUGUCUUAUGGCCUGGUUCCCAUAGUACCUUGUCAGAUGUAGUAGGGAGAAAUAUUGGGGUGAGGCCAGAGGCAUGCAGGUGAAAGAACCGACCAAAGAAAGAGAAGAGAACAGAAGGGGAGACUUAUCGAAAUACUCUGCAGGGGCUGGGGCUGAGCCAGGACUGGUCUGCAUGCAGCAGGAGUCGGGCUUUUUUUUAAAGAUUCUAUUUCUGGGGGCUUUCUAAUGUGGGGUACCAGUUUGCACCAGCUAUCUGCUCGAAUUUCUGGUCCUCGUGCUGGCCUUUGACACAGAAACAUGUCCUGGCUCUUUUCUGCAUUCCUGAAUCUGGACUCCUGAGGGUGCUUGGGCUAGGAGCGACUUUUGGGGUUUCUGUGCUCUUCCUGCCGCCUGCACCGGCAGCCGAGAGAGCGGGCAGUGGCUGUGGAUUCUGUACACAGGAGACUGUUUGGAGUUUGGCCCUGCUGUCCAGUCCCCAGAGAGGAAAGAGGCAGGAAGAGAGACCGAAGCAGAUGUGUCAGCACGUGGCCUUGGAACGAGCAGGCGGCACCCUGCGAAGUCCUGGGUGGCCGUCAGUCCCCGAGGACGCCAGGGGGUAGGCACGCGGCUGGGGCGCGGCUGGGGCGUCCGGCUGCUGCGGCGCUUUGAGAGGCUGAAGUCAGGUUUCUAGAGGCACGGGGUCUCGGGCUUUCUGUCUCGGGGGGCCGGUGUGUACCAGCUAUGGGCUGGAGUCUGGCCUCAGGCCUUGACCCGCGACACAGGAACAUGUCCUGGCCGGGCUUCUGCAUUCCUGGAUCGUGGCUGGUGUUUCUGGUCACCGGUUAGUCUUCUGGCCUGUUCCCAAGAGAACCUUACAGAUGCCUUCCCUGUCCGGUCCUCCGGACCUGCCUGCUGGGCAGGGACUGUGGGCUUGUUUUUCGACCUUAUUAAAUGGCAC
Condylura cristata (star-nosed mole) is the source of this 1082-nucleotide long non-coding RNA. RefSeq lists it as uncharacterized. The transcript is spliced from 3 exons. NCBI's taxonomy places the organism in Eukaryota, Metazoa, Chordata, Mammalia, Eulipotyphla, Talpidae. The record is from RefSeq and is a predicted model, not a curated record.